This 64-nucleotide transfer RNA is filed under the name Staphylinidae sp. 1 EF-2015. RNAcentral's name for it is "tRNA-Asn". Lineage: Eukaryota; Metazoa; Arthropoda; Insecta; Coleoptera; Staphylinidae. The record is from RNAcentral.
UUAAUUGAAACCAAAAUAGAGGUAAAUCAUUGUUAAUGAUUAAAGUGGAUUUUUCCCAAUUAAA